This 253-nucleotide ribosomal RNA is filed under the name uncultured bacterium. RNAcentral's name for it is "partial 16S ribosomal RNA". It matches the Rfam family "Bacterial small subunit ribosomal RNA", at positions 524 to 776 of the family's 1533-position model. The record is from RNAcentral.
UACAGAGGUGGCAAGCGUUGUUCGGAUUUACUGGGCGUAAAGGGUGCGUAGGUGGUCAUCUGUGUCGGGUGUGAAAGCCCACGGCUCAACCGUGGAAUGGCAUUCGAAACUGGAUGGCUAGAGUGCAGGAUGGGAGAGCGGAAUUCUUGGUGUAGCGGUGAAAUGCGUUGAUAUCAAGAAGAACACCGGUGGCGAAGGCGGCUCUCUGGAAUGCAACUGACACUGAGGCACGAAAGCUGGGGAAGCAAACAGG